AUGCGCGCGCCCACCGGCCGUGCCGUGUGCAGCGGGCAGCGGCGCGGGGCCAGCGCGUGCGCGGUUGCCGGGGCGACUGGAACACAACAUGGCGGCCUGAGGGGAGCGCCGGGAGUGGGGCCGGGUCGGGCCCGGCCGCUGAUCCGCCAGCCCCGGCACCGGCGGGACGGCGCGGGAGGCACAGUAAGAGGUUUCCAGUCUCUUUUUCUUGGAUAUAAUGAGCUGGACCACAUCUCAAAAAUCCAUGAAGUGAUAGGCACUCCUGGUAACAAAACUCCAAAAGUUCAAGCAGUGGAUCUUACUCAGUUUGGCACAUACAGUACUUCAAGGAUAUUGAUUUCCUAACAAGUUCCUUGCUCUGGAGACAACUUACACUUCUCUGGCUGUUGGAUGAAUAGGCAAACUUGAGUUUUCCCACCUGCUUUAUAGUUAAAAUGCACCCAAACUUUAAACUACAAACUGGCAAGUAUAGCUCCUACCCUCAUUCUUCCAGCUAAAAUUCCAUACUGAGAUUAUCUGUGUUCUGCUCACUUUUAAUUAUUUUUUUAAUGUAAUAGGAGAAAUAUUUUUAUUAAAAGCUGUAUCUACAGUAGAGGUCUUAAGUUCCUUCCAGGUAAGUUAUUAGUACCCUGUUUCUUAAUAAAAUAAUUUUCUACCAUAUGGAAUAGAGUGUG
RNAcentral lists this long non-coding RNA (674 nucleotides) under Junco hyemalis (dark-eyed junco). Its description in RNAcentral is "lncRNA (ENSJHYG00000011669.1)". The record is from RNAcentral. Lineage: Eukaryota; Metazoa; Chordata; Aves; Passeriformes; Passerellidae.